RNAcentral lists this long non-coding RNA (1301 nucleotides) under Salvia miltiorrhiza (redroot sage). RNAcentral's name for it is "long non-coding RNA (SMIL_LNC004797)". The record is from RNAcentral. Lineage: Eukaryota; Viridiplantae; Streptophyta; Magnoliopsida; Lamiales; Lamiaceae.
CCUUAUCUUGCCACCUUUUAUGACUACAAUUCUAUAUAGGUAAACUCUUUCCACACCUAUGAUACCAAAUGCUUAACUCACCUCCAAAAUCAGCUCGAGUCGAUUCAACAACAACCCCAUCUAGUGUCUAUAUUGUACAAUGAUAUAUAACCUGCAGAAAGCAUCAAUAUGAAUUAAAUCGCUUUCAUUUCUCCAAAGAUGAAGUUUCACGAGCUACUAUCACAACACUGUCAACCUAAUCACCCUCCGUCGGUGUCUUUUCACCAGCUCCAGGCCUUAUCAACGCCUUCAGCUUAUCCUAAAAACCAUUGAUCAAGUUUUCAGAAGAAUCGCCUUCGAAGAUCAAGUAAACUGCCCAUUUCCUAUCAUCUACAGAAUAGAUAAACACAAACAUAUAUGUUAUCAGCUAGUUUCACGUAUCAAAUUAAAUUAAAAUACACUAACAGCACCCAUCAUGUUCCAAAAAAUUUCACGGAUCAAAAUCAAUUAAAAUUGUAGGUCAAUAACCGAAACUCAAUCGAAACCAGUGACAUUUUACACAGCACAAAAACAAAUUAGAACUGGUUGAGCAGCAAAAGCGGAAACCCUAACCUUAAUUAAUUUCGCAAAAUAAAUGGAAAUAUUUGGAAAUUGGGUUCUAAUUGCAGCGGAAAUUGGGUCUUCGAAACUACUGCUGCUACAGAGUCUGUGGACGGAGACGCCGAGGCUGAAGGAGGUGGUGCGACGGAGAGCAGGUGGCGCAGCGGGGACUAGGCAACGCGUCUAGGGUUAGCAGACGACAGGCGAGAUGGAAACCGCGGCGCCUAGGGUUAGCGACGAGGACAGGGGCUGCGAGAAGGGGAAGUGCGGAGCCUAGGGUUAGUGAUGUAGACAGGGGCGGCGAGAUGGGGUGGCGCAGCGUCACAGGCGGUGCGGGUCGCGGUGGCGAGAUGGGGGCAGGCUGCGAGAUGGGGGCAGGCUUCACUGCAGUUAGGGAAGAAGAGAGGGGGUAGCAAUUUGGGGGUUAGGGCCUUAGUGAUUUCAAUUUAUGGUUUUUUUUUCUUCAGAUUUGCAGUUUUUUUAAAUGAAAUAUUAUACUAAUAAUGUUUACUUAAAAUCAUUUGAAAUGAUAAUUUAAAAUUAUUUCAUUUUCAGUUCAUUUUUAAUAAUUAAAUUAACUCUAAUUUAUUUAAAUAUGAAUUUAUAAAUAAACUUUUUUAUUUUUAAAUAAACAGUUUUUGUUAAAAAAUAUAAUAUGGUUUUAAAAAAAUAAAUUGAUAAAAAAAUUGAAAAAAGGAAUUUAAUAAUUAAAUUAACUCUAA